CAAAAAUAUCAAAUGCCAUGUUGAUUUUGCACAGAAGGAAAGUUGGAAAGAGAGUGUCUAGAACAGGGGAAUCAUGAUUAGCUUGGGAUGGAAGAAGAUGAAGACAUUUUAAGACCCGUUGCUGCAUUGUGCCUGAGAUCCCCAAAGCGCUGGCGUUUGAUAACUUGGUGGACGUAGAUGCUUAGCCAAUCAGUCACUAGGCUUGUGAAUAUGGAAUCCGGAUGCUCACAAGGAGAAGAGCUGUAUGAAAAAAACCAAAAAGAAAUUGUGCAAGGAAAGUUUGAAGUGUCUGUGGGUAUUAUCAACAUCCAACUCUCUGAGCCUUCGUACUGAAAGUGAAUCCGUUCCUGACACCAGUUUUCUGUCAACCCUCUAACAUGACCAUUUACUAAUUUCAUAGGAUAUCAGUGAGGAAGUGAUUCUCUUGCAAACACGUCAGAAGUUUUGGAUCAUUAAUCGGGAUCUUUGGCACGUACAUUGGGGAAAAUAGCAUCUGUUGAUUUUAUGGGAUCUUUGUAUCAAUAUAUUUGUGUAGUACAUUGUCAUAUUUUUUGCAUUUAAUACAUGUGUUUGUCACUCUAGUCAUUAACUUUGUACCAGUACAUAAGCCACUGGCAGUUCAUUGUAAAUG
Saccostrea cuccullata (small rock oyster) is the source of this 631-nucleotide long non-coding RNA. RefSeq lists it as uncharacterized. The transcript has 4 exons. The record is from RefSeq and is a predicted model, not a curated record. Lineage: Eukaryota; Metazoa; Mollusca; Bivalvia; Ostreida; Ostreidae.